This 369-nucleotide ribosomal RNA is filed under the name Triticum aestivum (bread wheat). Its description in RNAcentral is "partial small subunit ribosomal RNA". Lineage: Eukaryota; Viridiplantae; Streptophyta; Magnoliopsida; Poales; Poaceae. The record is from RNAcentral.
AUGAACAUUGCCAGGCAGUGGCCAACGAUUACCUCCAACCGCGCCCUGUCUCCAAUGCCCCAGACGACUCGCCAAGAAGGCCACCUCCUUGAAGAAGCAGAACACAAGGAGGAGGAGGAUCAUCAAGAUCCCCACGGUGGUCCACCAGAAGAUCUCGAAACCCUUCACAGCCUUCUCCAUGACGUAAUCGUUGGCGGAUAUUUUUUUUUUUGGCUGUGGAGGCGGAGGGAUCGAGGAGGAAGCUGCAGCAGGCUCGUGGCACUGCUGCAGUUGUGGAGGCGGAGAGCUAGAUGGAGGAGGGUCGUGGGGGGCUCUAUAUUCGCCCGUUCGGGUGGUUAUAUCCCACAGCGAACGGUAGCUCGAAGUUGA